This 469-nucleotide ribosomal RNA is filed under the name uncultured bacterium. Its description in RNAcentral is "bacterial SSU rRNA". It matches the Rfam family "Bacterial small subunit ribosomal RNA", at positions 328 to 794 of the family's 1533-position model. The record is from RNAcentral.
UAUCCAGACUCCUACGGGAGGCAGCAGUGAGGAAUAUUGGUCAAUGGGCGCGAGCCUGAACCAGCCAAGUCGCGUGAGGGAAGACGGUCCUACGGAUUGUAAACCUCUUUUGCCGGGGAGCAACGGGGUCCUUGCGAGGGCCCGAUGAGAGUACCCGGAGAAAAAGCAUCGGCUAACUCCGUGCCAGCAGCCGCAGUAAUACGGAGGAUGCGAGCGUUAUCCGGAUUUAUUGGGUUUAAAGGGUGCGUAGGCGGGACCUUAAGUCAGCGGUAAAAUUGCGGUGCUCAACGCCGUAGAGCCGUUGAAACUGGGGUUCUUGAGUGAGCGAGAAGUAUGCGGAAUGCGUGGUGUAGCGGUGAAAUGCAUAGAUAUCACGCAGAACCCCGAUUGCGAAGGCAGCAUACCGGCGCUCAACUGACGCUGAGGCACGAAAGUGCGGGUAUCGAACAGGAUUAGAUACCCGCGUAUG